Molecule: long non-coding RNA, 387 nt
Filed under: Setaria viridis
Lineage: Eukaryota; Viridiplantae; Streptophyta; Magnoliopsida; Poales; Poaceae
Description: long non-coding RNA (SVIR_LNC008174)
Source: RNAcentral
GGGAAUAAUAUGAGUGUGUACAUGGAGCCUCUGAUUGAUGAUUUGGUCCGUGUAUGGGAGGAAGGGGUAUGGACAUACGACUGUGCUACAAGGACAAACGGAAGGGGUAUGGACAUACGACCGUGCUACAAGGACAAACUUCAAGAUGCAUGUUUGGUACCACUACUCCCUGCAUGACUUGCCGGCAUAUGGUAUUUUCUGUGGCUGGUGUGUUCACAGGAAGUUCCCAUGCCCAGUAUGCAAGGCUUCUUUGAAGUUCAUUUGGUUGACGAAGGGUGACAAGUAUUCUUCGUUCGACAAAUAUCGAAAAUUCCUUCCUCCUGACCAUCCUUUCAGACGAGAUAUUAAAAACUUUACGAAAGAUGUCGUAGUUAACGACCCCCCCAC